RNAcentral lists this small RNA (403 nucleotides) under Caenorhabditis elegans. Its description in RNAcentral is "Unclassified non-coding RNA Y54G2A.80". The record is from RNAcentral. Lineage: Eukaryota; Metazoa; Nematoda; Chromadorea; Rhabditida; Rhabditidae.
GAUGUCAAGAAUGCAACUACACAAACUUUACACAGUUUUCUGCUGGAAUUACUAUAGAACGGAUACUUAUGAACUAUUUAGUGAGUUUUUCGUCUCGAAAUCUAAAAAUUAAAACAAAAAAUUCAGACGAAACCGACAGGAAACCAUUAAUUUGCUCCCAGUGCAAAGUGUCAACUUGUUUCGAGUGUUACAACCGAUUAUAUAACGAGUGCGGGUUUUGCGAAUGUUCUAUUAUGGCUGUAAGUGUACUUGUAAUCUUACAAAACGUUUUUUUUUUGAUUUUCAGGUAUUUCUAAAAUAUAAAGAUGAUGUAGAGGCAAGAACCAACCACGAGGCUUUGGAGUUGUUAAAGUUUUAUAAAGAAAACUGUAUUGAGGUUUUAGAGGAGUGGUGGGCAAGUGAC